AAAAAAAAAGAAAAGAAAAGAAUAAAGGAGAAAAGACUAGAAGAGGAAGGGAAUUCAUCUUUCCCAUUCAUUUUCUUCUCCUUCCCGUGAAUAUGCCUAAACCCCUCUUCCUCCAUCUUUUUUUUCUCUACACCAAAAUUGCUUCAAAAUUUCAUCUCCAAUUAAUUCCCCAUCUUCUCCCAACACCUUUCCAAAGAAGAAUUUGAAGAAAAGAAGGAAAAUCAAAGAGAAAUUUCAAGGGUGAGAGGGGAGUGAAUAGUAAUCAAGGGUUUGGAAAUUUGAAAGAAGUAGAAAGGAAAAGUGGAAGUUCCAAAGGGAAAGAAAAGGAAGAGUAGAGAAUUAAAACUUGUAGAAUAUUUUGGAAAUUCUAAGGUUGUAGACCCAAGGAAUAGUAGAUCAAGAUCUGCAUCAACCCAGCCAGAGUUACAUCAUCAUCUAUAUUGGGUGUCAAUAGAGCUCUGCAGAAAUCACAUUUUACCUAUAGCAAGAUGGAGCAAUAACAUCUACCAAGUCAUUUGCUGGGAGACA
Long non-coding RNA from Manihot esculenta (cassava), 528 nucleotides. RefSeq lists it as uncharacterized. The record is from RefSeq and is a predicted model, not a curated record. Lineage: Eukaryota; Viridiplantae; Streptophyta; Magnoliopsida; Malpighiales; Euphorbiaceae. The transcript is spliced from 4 exons.